GCUGGGCAUAGUGGUGCACGCCUGUAAUCCCAGCUACUUGGGAGGCUGAAGUAGAAGGAUCACUUGAGCCCAGGAGGUCAAGGCUGCAGUGAGCCAUAAUGGUGCCACUGCACUCCAGCCUGGGUGACAGAGUGAGACCCUGUCUCAA
RNAcentral lists this non-coding RNA (148 nucleotides) under Pan paniscus (pygmy chimpanzee). Lineage: Eukaryota; Metazoa; Chordata; Mammalia; Primates; Hominidae. The record is from Rfam by way of RNAcentral. RNAcentral also lists the same sequence under 1 other name.